This 267-nucleotide ribosomal RNA is filed under the name Triticum aestivum (bread wheat). RNAcentral's name for it is "partial small subunit ribosomal RNA". Lineage: Eukaryota; Viridiplantae; Streptophyta; Magnoliopsida; Poales; Poaceae. The record is from RNAcentral.
AUGCAUUGGUUCUCAUGGUGGAAACUGUGUAUCCCGAGGAGUGAUGGCGGCAUGGGCUUCAGAGACCUCCAUUCAUUUAACCUAGCUCUAUUAGCAAAGCAAUGCUGGAGGAUGAUAAACAAUCCUGAUUCGGUAUAUGCUAGGAUUUUGAAGGCUAAAUAUUUCCCAAAUACUGAUUUGCUGAAUGCAGGACCAAAAAACGGCUCUUCUUUCACAUGGCAGAGUAUUGUAGCCGAGUUGACUCCUUUUAAGAGAGGGUAUAUAUAG